CACUGUCACUCCUACGGGAGGCAGCAGUGGGGAAUAUUGCACAAUGGGCGCAAGCCUGAUGCAGCCAUGCCGCGUGUGUGAAGAAGGCCUUCGGGGUUGUAAAGCACUUUCAGUCGUGAGGAAGGUAGUGUAGUUAAUAGCUGCAUUAUUUGACGUUAGCGACAGAAGAAGCACCGGCUAACUCCGUGCCAGCAGCCGCGGUAAUACGGAGGGUGCGAGCGUUAAUCGGAAUUACUGGGCGUAAAGCGCAUGCAGGUGGUUUGUUAAGUCAGAUGUGAAAGCCCCGGGGCUCAACCUCGGAAUUGCAUUUGAAACUGGCAGACUAGAGUACUGUAGAGGGGGUAGAAUUUCAGGUGUAGCGGUGAAAUGCGUAGAGAUCUGAAGGAUACCGGUGGCGAAGGCGGCCCCCUGGACAGAUACUGACACUCAGAUGCGAAAGCGUGGGGAGCAAACAGGAUUAGAUACCCUGGUAG
This 473-nucleotide ribosomal RNA is filed under the name uncultured bacterium. Its description in RNAcentral is "bacterial SSU rRNA". It matches the Rfam family "Bacterial small subunit ribosomal RNA", at positions 325 to 793 of the family's 1533-position model. The record is from RNAcentral.